GCUGCCCUCAAGCCCGGCUUGUGUGUUGGGUCGCCGUCCCCCUCUCCGGGGGGACGGCCCGAAAGGCAGCGGCGGCACCGGUCCGAUCCUCGAGCGUAUGGGGCUUUGUCACAUGCUCUGUAGGAUUGGCCGGCGCCUGCACGUUUUCCAACCAUUCUUUCCAGG
RNAcentral lists this unclassified non-coding RNA (165 nucleotides) under Aspergillus wentii. Lineage: Eukaryota; Fungi; Ascomycota; Eurotiomycetes; Eurotiales; Aspergillaceae. The record is from RNAcentral.